RNAcentral lists this ribosomal RNA (253 nucleotides) under uncultured bacterium. Its description in RNAcentral is "partial 16S ribosomal RNA". It matches the Rfam family "Bacterial small subunit ribosomal RNA", at positions 524 to 776 of the family's 1533-position model. The record is from RNAcentral.
UACGGAGGGGGCUAGCGUUGUUCGGAAUUACUGGGCGUAAAGCGCACGUAGGCGGCUUUGUAAGUUAGAGGUGAAAGCCCAGGGCUCAACCCUGGAAUUGCCUUUGAUACUGGCUAUCUUGAGCUCGGGAGAGGUGAGUGGAACUCCGAGUGUAGAGGUGAAAUUCGUAGAUAUUCGGAAGAACACCAGUGGCGAAGGCGACUCACUGGCCCGAUACUGACGCUGAGGCGCGAAAGCGUGGGGAGCAAACAGG